AUGGCUCAGGACGAACGCUGGCGGCGUGCCUAAUACAUGCAAGUCGAACGGUCUUUCUAUGGAAGCUUGCUUCCACUGAAAAGAUAGUGGCGAACGGGUGAGUAACACGUGGGUAACCUGCCCAUAAGAGGGGGGAUAACAUCCGGAAACGGGUGCUAAUACCGCAUAGUUUUCUUGAUCGCAUGAUCGGGAAAGGAAAGACGGCCUUUGUGCUGUCGCUUAUGGAUGGACCCGCGGCGUAUUAGUUAGUUGGUGAGGUAACGGCUCACCAAGACGAUGAUACGUAGCCGACCUGAGAGGGUGAUCGGCCACAUUGGGACUGAGACACGGCCCAAACUCCUACGGGAGGCAGCAGUAGGGAAUCUUCCGCAAUGGACGAAAGUCUGACGGAGCAACGCCGCGUGAGUGAAAGAAGGUUUUCGGAUCGUAAAACUCUGUUGUCAGAGAAGAACAAGUUGGAGAGUAACUGCUCCAGCCUUGACGGUAUCUGACCAGAAAGCCACGGCUAACUACGUGCCAGCCGCCGC
This 527-nucleotide ribosomal RNA is filed under the name uncultured bacterium. Its description in RNAcentral is "bacterial SSU rRNA". It matches the Rfam family "Bacterial small subunit ribosomal RNA", at positions 19 to 518 of the family's 1533-position model. The record is from RNAcentral.